RNAcentral lists this transfer RNA (62 nucleotides) under Tiniocellus sarawacus. Its description in RNAcentral is "tRNA-Cys". Lineage: Eukaryota; Metazoa; Arthropoda; Insecta; Coleoptera; Scarabaeidae. The record is from RNAcentral.
AGUUUUAUAUUCAAUAAUGAUUUUAAAUUGCAAAUUUAAAGGUGAAUGUUAUUCUGAAACUU